UGGGGAAUUUUGGACAAUGGGCGAAAGCCUGAUCCAGCAAUGCCGCGUGUGUGAAGAAGGCCUUCGGGUUGUAAAGCACUUUUGUCCGGAAAGAAAUCCUUGGCUCUAAUACAGUCGGGGGGAUGACGGUACCGGAAGAAUAAGCACCGGCUAACUACGUGCCAGCAGCCGCGGUAAUACGUAGGGUGCAAGCGUUAAUCGGAAUUACUGGGCGUAAAGCGUGCGCAGGCGGUUUGCUAAGACCGAUGUGAAAUCCCCGGGCUCAACCUGGGAACUGCAUUGGGUGACUGGCAGGCUAGAGUAUGGCAGAGGGGGGUAGAAUUCCACGUGUAGCAGUGAAAUGCGUAGAGAUGUGGAGGAAUACCGAUGGCGAAGGCAGCCCCCUGGGCCAAUACUGACGCUCAUGCACGAAAGCGUGGGGAGCAAACAGGAUUAGAUACCCUGGUAGUCCACGCCCUAAACGAUGUCAACUAGUUGUUGGGGAUUCAUUUCCUAGUAACGUAGCUAACGCGUGAAGUUGACCGCCUGGGGGAGUACGGUCGCAAGAUU
This 549-nucleotide ribosomal RNA is filed under the name uncultured bacterium. RNAcentral describes it as "partial 16S ribosomal RNA". It matches the Rfam family "Bacterial small subunit ribosomal RNA", at positions 355 to 895 of the family's 1533-position model. The record is from RNAcentral.